UAAACGACUCUCGGCAACGGAUAUCUCGGCUCUCGCAUCGAUGAAGAACGUAGCGAAAUGCGAUACUUGGUGUGAAUUGCAGAAUCCCGUGAACCAUCGAGUCUUUGAACGCAAGUUGCGCCCGAAGCCUUGGCCGAGGGCACGCCUGCCUGGGUGUCACACA
RNAcentral lists this ribosomal RNA (163 nucleotides) under Combretum indicum (Rangoon creeper). Its description in RNAcentral is "5.8S ribosomal RNA". It matches the Rfam family "5.8S ribosomal RNA". From Rfam's summary of the family: 5.8S ribosomal RNA (5.8S rRNA) is a component of the large subunit of the eukaryotic ribosome. It is transcribed by RNA polymerase I as part of the 45S precursor that also contains 18S and 28S rRNA. Lineage: Eukaryota; Viridiplantae; Streptophyta; Magnoliopsida; Myrtales; Combretaceae. The record is from RNAcentral.